RNAcentral lists this ribosomal RNA (301 nucleotides) under uncultured bacterium. RNAcentral's name for it is "partial 16S ribosomal RNA". It matches the Rfam family "Bacterial small subunit ribosomal RNA", at positions 509 to 807 of the family's 1533-position model. The record is from RNAcentral.
CAGUCGCCACGGUAAUACAGAGGGUGCAAGCGUUAAUCGGAUUUACUGGGCGUAAAGGGCGCGUAGGUGGUUAUUUAAGUGAGAUGUGAAAUCCCCGGGCUUAACCUGGGAACUGCAUCUUAUACUGGGUAACUGGAGUGCAGUAGAGGGUAGUGGAAUUUCCGGUGUAGCGGUGAAAUGCGUAGAUAUCGGAAGGAACACCAGUGGCGAAGGCGGCUACCUGGACUGAGACUGACACUGAGGCGCGAGAGCGUGGGGAGCAAACAGGAUUAGAGACCCCCGUAGUCCCUGUCUCUUAUAC